RNAcentral lists this ribosomal RNA (506 nucleotides) under uncultured bacterium. RNAcentral describes it as "partial 16S ribosomal RNA". It matches the Rfam family "Bacterial small subunit ribosomal RNA", at positions 29 to 523 of the family's 1533-position model. The record is from RNAcentral.
AGUGAACGCUGGCGGCAGGCCUAACACAUGCAAGUCGAACGGCAGCACAGGAGAGCUUGCUCUCUGGGUGGCGAGUGGCGGACGGGUGAGGAAUAUAUCGGAAUCUACCCUUUCGUGGGGGAUAACGUAGGGAAACUUACGCUAAUACCGCAUACGAACUGAGGUUGAAAGCGGCGGGCCGCAAGGCGUCGCGCGGAUGGAUGAGCCGAUAUCCGAUUAGCUAGUUGGCGGGGUAAAGGCCCACCAAAGCGACGAUCGGUAGCUGGUCUGAGAGGAUGGUCAGCCACACUGGAACUGAGACACGGUCCAGACUCCUACGGGAGGCAGCAGUGGGGAAUAUUGGACAAUGGGCGCAAGCCUGAUCCAGCCAUGCCGCGUGUGUGAAGAAGGCCUUCGGGUUGUAAAGCACCUUUGUUGGGAAAGAAAAGCGGUCGGUUAAUACCCGGUCGUUCUGACGGUACCCAAAGAAUAAGCACCGGCUAACUUCGUGCCAGCCGCCGCCGUAA